This 460-nucleotide ribosomal RNA is filed under the name uncultured bacterium. Its description in RNAcentral is "partial 16S ribosomal RNA". It matches the Rfam family "Bacterial small subunit ribosomal RNA", at positions 338 to 795 of the family's 1533-position model. The record is from RNAcentral.
CCUACGGGUGGCAGCAGUGAGGAAUAUUGGUCAAUGGACGAGAGUCUGAACCAGCCAAGUCGCGUGAAGGAUGACUGCCCUAUGGGUUGUAAACUUCUUUUAUAUGGGAAUAAAACGUUCCACGUGUGGGAUUUUGUAUGUACCAUAUGAAUAAAGCACGGCUAACUACGUGCCAGCAGCCGCGGUAAUACGGAGGAUCCGGGCGUUAUCCGGAUUUAUUGGGUUUAAAGGGAGCGUAGGUGGAUUGUUAAGUCCGUUGUGAAAGUUUGCGGGUCAACCGUAGAAUUGCAGUUGAAACUGGCAGUCUUGAGUACAGUAGAGGUAGGCGGAAUUCGUGGUGUAGCGGUGAAAUGCUUAGAUAUCACGAAGAACUCCGAUUGCGAAGGCAGUUCACUGGACCGCAACUGACACUGAGGCUCGAAAGUGUGGGUAUCGAACAGGAUUAGAUACCCCAGUAGUC